This 275-nucleotide ribosomal RNA is filed under the name uncultured Aquicella sp. RNAcentral describes it as "partial 16S ribosomal RNA". It matches the Rfam family "Bacterial small subunit ribosomal RNA", at positions 338 to 605 of the family's 1533-position model. Lineage: Bacteria; Pseudomonadati; Pseudomonadota; Gammaproteobacteria; Legionellales; Coxiellaceae. The record is from RNAcentral.
CCUACGGGUGGCUGCAGUGGGGAAUAUUGGACAAUGGGGGCAACCCUGAUCCAGCGAUGCCGCGUGGGUGAAGAAGGCCUUCGGGUUGUAAAGCCCUUUAGGUUGGGAAGAAGGGUAAGUGGUGCAUAGCCAAUUACUUUGACGGUACCAACAGAAUAAGCACCGGCAAACUCUGUGCCAGCAGCCGCGGUAAUACAGAGGGUGCAAGCGUUAAUCGGAGUUACUGGGCGUAAAGGGCGCGUAGGCGGUGCAGUGUGUGUGAUGUGAAAGCCCCG